UACAGAGGGGGCAAGCGUUGUUCGGAAUUACUGGGCGUAAAGGGCGCGUAGGCGGCCUGCUAAGUCGAACGUGAAAUCCCCGGGCUCAACCCGGGAACUGCGUUCGAUACUGGUUGGCUUGAAUCCGGGAGAGGGAUGCGGAAUUCCAGGUGUAGCGGUGAAAUGCGUAGAUAUCUGGAGGAACACCGGUGGCGAAGGCGGCAUCCUGGACCGGCAUUGACGCUGAGGCGCGAAAGCCAGGGGAGCAAACGGG
Molecule: ribosomal RNA, 253 nt
Filed under: uncultured bacterium
Lineage: Bacteria
Description: partial 16S ribosomal RNA
Rfam family: Bacterial small subunit ribosomal RNA
Source: RNAcentral